UAUUUCUGGACUGUGUAGAGUUGACUGUUGAGUGGUGUGCCGUGGAUUGUUGAUUACAGAGACCGCAGAAAGACUGGAUUGUUCCUGUUGUAAUAAUAUUUUCAUCUUAACCCUGCGACUACCAAGCAUUAGGACAAUAUUAAUAUUGUAAUUGCAAAGAUGCCAUCUCAUAAACAUAAAAAAAGGAAGAAGAGCCACAAACAAAAGAAAUAUAUUACAUCAAGCUCUGAGGAUGAAGGAAGGCCAUGGAAAGUUAAAUUAUCAAGUUCAGAUAGUGAGGAUUCGGCAAAUGAAGAAAGAUUAACUUCUUUGGUGAGAAAAUCAUAUUUAAAUCAUCUUCAACAAGCCCUAUCACAGAAUUUUAAAAAUUGGUACAAGAAUACCGAAGAGCUACCUGAAUGUUUAGUACAAGAGUUAGUGAACAAGUGGUCUUUAGUUUUGGAACAGAAAGCCAUAAGGGCCUGUAUGAUGUCUGAGCUUUACAGGAGAAAUAUGGUUUCAUCGAUAAAAGAAAUCAAAGCUAGCACAAAUGAAGAAAGAUUAUAUAUAGAUGAUAUAAGUAUGUCUUCAUUGAAAUCAAAAAUUCCCUUGGAUAAGAACAUACAGACGGAGAAGUUUGGUAGUGAAGUUGAGACACAGACCCAGGCUCCAAUUUCCUCAUUGCUGGAACUACCCUUGCCCAUAAGUCCCUCUAGUAGGCCAUAUGACCCAGCCAUUGAAUUUUCCAGUACUGUUUCCAGCACGAUUCCUCAAUCUUCUGAUGUCUGUAAUAUCACGUCUACUUCAGAUUUCAGUGACCCAGCUCAGAUCUUGUUUAACAUUGUAAAAUCUACAGAUAAAAAAAAUAUUGUUGGUUCAAUUGAUAAACACAGAGAUUGUUAUGAUAACAGUACUGAGCAAAAGCUGGAUUAUGAAAACUCUUUUGAAGACAAUGUUUUUCAGAAGUCUAAGAGUAGUUAUAGGAAUUUAAAAACAUGUGAUACAUUAGUCCCUUUAAAAGGACAAACGUUAGAGGGAUGCCAUAAACCAUCAUCUGGUGAUAAUUUUAAAGAUAAUCUUGAUUCAAGAUUAACUGCAAUGGGCUUGCUUGGUGCCAUCGACAUAGAAACAGAAAGAGCCAUUGCUGAAUUGGCCAACGAAAAAUCUAAAAAAAAUAACUGGUUUGCCGAAGAAAUAGCCCAAUCUUGUAAUUUUACCAGAAGUUUUUUGAGGUUGUCUACACAGCAAAGGAAGAGAGUGAACAUAAAAAUUGAAAAGUUAUUUGGAAAUGAAAACAAUCCUUUAACAGAGCUAACAGAGAAAAAUAUCACAAUAUGCCGCAAGAGAAUAGCAUCAGUGGUUGUCAUGGAACUAACUCCAAUAUAUCAAGCUAAGAAAAUAGCAUCUAGACAUCUAUUUAAAUUUUUAGCAAAGAAAAUUACAAAGUCCCUGAUGGAUAACUCAUAUGCUCCAGGUAGCUGGAAGCUGAUUACCGCCUCUGCCCAUUUGUUAGGGAAUUCAUUCACCAUGCUUUGGUUGUAUAGAGGAUUCAAAAACUGAAAUAUCGUUUGUUGAAGAUUCCUUGGAUGUCGAUGCCAAAGACAAGACGUCAGAUACAAAGAACAUACGUUGGAAGGUGAAGGAAUUUUUCAGUGAUGGGAAAGUUAUAAUGUCUGAGUCUGAUUGUGUAUAGAUAUAUGUUUGUGAUGUCCAAUAGUUGUACAUUUUUCUAUCUGUGAUAUAUACCUGUAUUAAAUAGAAUAGUUUACUAUUUUAAUAUUGUUCAAAUAUAAUUUAAUUUAUUGAAA
Molecule: unclassified non-coding RNA, 1787 nt
Filed under: Homalodisca vitripennis (glassy-winged sharpshooter)
Lineage: Eukaryota; Metazoa; Arthropoda; Insecta; Hemiptera; Cicadellidae
Description: uncharacterized LOC124360655, transcript variant X2
Source: RNAcentral